GCGCCUGUAGUCCCAGCUACUUGGGAGGCUGAGGCAAGAGAAUUGCUUGAACCCAGGAGGCGGAAGUUGCAGUGAGCCUAGAUUGUGCCAUUGCAUUCCAGCCUGGGCAACAGAG
This 115-nucleotide small nucleolar RNA is filed under the name Homo sapiens (human). Its description in RNAcentral is "H/ACA box". The record is from RNAcentral. Lineage: Eukaryota; Metazoa; Chordata; Mammalia; Primates; Hominidae.